UUGGAGUUCUUACAAGAUGGCAG
RNAcentral lists this non-coding RNA (23 nucleotides) under Cricetulus griseus (Chinese hamster). The record is from RNAcentral. Lineage: Eukaryota; Metazoa; Chordata; Mammalia; Rodentia; Cricetidae.